RNAcentral lists this ribosomal RNA (697 nucleotides) under uncultured Lachnospiraceae bacterium. RNAcentral's name for it is "bacterial SSU rRNA". It matches the Rfam family "Bacterial small subunit ribosomal RNA", at positions 47 to 755 of the family's 1533-position model. The record is from RNAcentral. Lineage: Bacteria; Bacillati; Bacillota; Clostridia; Lachnospirales; Lachnospiraceae.
CCUAACACAUGCAAGUCGAACGGAGUUGAAAGGAGCUUGCUUUUUUCAACUCAGUGGCGGACGGGUGAGUAACGCGUGAGUAACCUGCCUUUCAGAGGGGGAUAACGUUCUGAAAAGAACGCUAAUACCGCAUAAGAUUGUAGUUUCGCAUGGAGCAGCAAUCAAAGGAGCAAUCCGCUGAAAGAUGGACUCGCGUCCGAUUAGAUAGUUGGCGGGGUAACGGCCCACCAAGUCGACGAUCGGUAGCCGGACUGAGAGGUUGAUCGGCCACAUUGGGACUGAGACACGGCCCAGACUCCUACGGGAGGCAGCAGUGAGGGAUAUUGGGCAAUGGGGGAAACCCUGACCCAGCAACGCCGCGUGAGGGAUGACGGUUUUCGGAUUGUAAACCUCUGUCCUCUGUGAAGAUAGUGACGGUAGCAGAGGAGGAAGCUCCGGCUAACUACGUGCCAGCAGCCGCGGUAAUACGUAGGGAGCAAGCGUUGUCCGGAUUUACUGGGUGUAAAGGGUGCGUAGGCGGAUUGGCAAGUCAGAAGUGAAAUCCAUGGGCUUAACCCAUGAACUGCUUUUGAAACUGUUAGUCUUGAGUGAAGUAGAGGUAGGCGGAAUUCCCGGUGUAGCGGUGAAAUGCGUAGAGAUCGGGAGGAACACCAGUGGCGAAGGCGGCCUACUGGGCUUUAACUGACGCUGAGGCACG